RNAcentral lists this ribosomal RNA (478 nucleotides) under uncultured anaerobic ammonium-oxidizing bacterium. Its description in RNAcentral is "bacterial SSU rRNA". It matches the Rfam family "Bacterial small subunit ribosomal RNA", at positions 364 to 832 of the family's 1533-position model. The record is from RNAcentral.
UUUCGCAAUGCCCGAAAGGGUGACGAAGCGACGCCGCGUGUGGGAAGAAGGCCUUCGGGUUGUAAACCACUGUCGGGAGUUAAGAAAUGCAAGGAUAUGAAUAGUGUCUUUGCUUGACUAAGGCUCCGGAGGAAGCCACGGCUAACUCUGUGCCAGCAGCCGCGGUAAUACAGAGGCGGCAAGCGUUGUUCGGAAUUAUUGGGCGUAAAGAGCACGUAGGCGGCUAUGUAAGUCGGUUGUGAAAGCCUUCCGCUCAACGGGAGAACAGCAUCCGAUACUGCAUGGCUUGAGUGCGGGAGGGGAGAGUGGAACUUCUGGUGGAGCGGUGAAAUGCGUAGAUAUCAGAAGGAACGCCGGCGGCGAAAGCGGCUCUCUGGCCCAUAACUGACGCUGAGUGUGCGAAAGCUAGGGGAGCAAACGGGAUUAGAUACCCCGGUAGUCCUAGCCGUAAACGAUGGGCACUAAGUAGAGGGGUUUU